This is a microRNA precursor of Sorghum bicolor (sorghum), 110 nucleotides long. It matches the Rfam family "MIR5565 microRNA precursor family". Lineage: Eukaryota; Viridiplantae; Streptophyta; Magnoliopsida; Poales; Poaceae. The record is from Rfam.
GUAGUUGUAAUUCGCAUCAAUCCAUAUGUAUUGGGGUGAGUUAGAGUGGAACUUGAACUAAAUUCUACUCUAAAUCACUCCAACACAUGUGGAUUGAGGUGAAUCUAACA